RNAcentral lists this long non-coding RNA (4831 nucleotides) under Sus scrofa (pig). Its description in RNAcentral is "lncRNA (ENSSSCG00040049760.1)". The record is from RNAcentral. Lineage: Eukaryota; Metazoa; Chordata; Mammalia; Artiodactyla; Suidae.
AACAACGACACAACUCCCAAAGGACACAAAAGCUAGUGUCGGAGAGGUCCAACACUGGACCAAUUAUUCUGGUAAUUUUUUAAGUUCUGUCCCUAUUUUACUCACCAAUUUCCUCUUUUAAAAAAAAGCGAAUGAGUUUAUAAAUUCAGAUUUAUACCGUGAUGAUACUAAGAAUAAAGGGUCAAAAACACGGUUACAGAUGGAGAGCCCAGGCUACUUUCCACCUGUGUGAUUCCAACUCGGCGACAUCUGGAACAGGUGGAACCGCGGAGACGGCAGACAGUGGCAGAGAGAUGGCGGGGGAUGUAGGGAGGCAGCGAGGAGUGAGCACGGAGGACUCUGAGGCAGCAAGACUGCUCUGCACGGUCCUGAGAUGGUGGAGACCCACAAAGAGUGCAACCAGGAGGGGCCCUGAUGGAAACGGCGGGCUCCGGGUGUAGGUGCCCCGCCUGGACCGCGGGCGCCGCUCAGGUGGUGGAUGGGGACGGAGGAGGAACGAAUGAAAAGGUGCUCAAUAAUCAUCACAUUUUGCUCCGGCGCAUAAGGAACAGAGGAGACUGCGAAGCAGCCACAGACGACCUGGUUUCCGAGGACGCGGCUCAGGAAGAUGGCAGGCGGCCCUUUGAACCCACAGGAAACGUAACUUUGUCUCAACUGAGUUUGCACAAAGCCCCAAGCCAAGAGCAGGAAGGAGAUCUUGUGCAACGGCAGAUGCUGAAACGGGAGGAGGGAUGGAUUUGGGGCGUAAGGCUGGUCCAGCUGCAAUCACCCUUGACCCUCCUGGUCCAGGACACGCGUUCUGGUGAUCAAGGUUCUGUGAAGUGGGCGCGACAGUGGCCUCGCCAGGAACCACGAGGCAGAGUCCAUGGGGUCACGCGUGGCAGGCUUGCCCAGGCAGAGCGCCGCCUGCAGUCGGCAUCUGUCACUCACACGAGAGCUUCUGCUCAGAGUGGCUCCUCUCCGCUGAGGUCCUUCUGAAGCUCUGGGGGCGGGGAGGCUCUGAUGACGUGCAGCAGCUGGGCACAUCCGCGUGCCAUUUUAGAGAAGUCUGCCCAUUUGGCACAGCUGUCCACUCUCUUGGAGUGAGGAGGUGAGUCAGUCGGGCCCUUGCUCUGGACCCCAGACUGUACAUGGGAGUUCAUGCCUGGCACACAGGGGAUCAGUUUCCCUGCUUGCUGGUCAAAGGAUUCCAGUUUCCAACAGGAAGGAAAAUAACAAUGAUGCUGACGAUAAUGAAAGCGACGGAGCUCCAUGUCCAGGCACUGGGCCAAGAGCUGUUCCUGGUUUGGGUUUUUCAUUUUAUUUUCAUGCAUUUAAAAAAAAAAAAUGUUUUAACGGCUGCACCUGCAGCACAUGAAAGUUCCUGAGCUGGGGUCAAAUCAGAGCUGCAGCUGAGGCCAACCCCACAGCCACACUGGUCCAGGUCGCAGCUGUGACCUAUGCUGAGCUCGUGGCAACACCAGGCCCUUAAACCACUGAGUGAGGCCAGGGAGUGAACCCGCAUCCUCACAGAGACAACGUCAGGUCCUUAGCCCACUGAGCCACAACAGGAACUCCUGGUUUGGGUGUUUUUUUAAAAUACGCAUCACCUCAUUCAUUCUUACAGCCCAGUGAGGUAUGGGCUGUUACAUACACACGCAUACGUGCACGUGCACGAGGGAUGGCCCACGUGCGUAUUUACGUCCAUGGUUCCUAGUCCUGUCCACUGAAAGGGCCAAGGGCAAAGACACCCCAGCAACGAGCACCGCUAGGGCCCCGGUCUUGGUCCCUGAAAGGAGCCGGGGCCCUCGGAGCAAUGGCUGACCCUGGAACUGAGGUGGAGUAUGUGCAAGUGACCCUGGAAGAACGUGGGGUGCUGGGAGAAAGUCAGAGCUAAGAAACGCAGGCGUGUCCUGUCCCAGGACACGGAGCAGAUGGAAGGGGCUCCACCGCCAAAUCUGGGGCACUCUGAGCACCAGACUCGCUAAGGAUGCUCAUCUGCCACAGGCCACUGGGAGCAGGAAUCCGCAGUGUGCGCCAUUAAUGGGAGUACACGCGGGAAAGGAAGGCUCCUUCUCACGGCCAGGACGCCGAGGCCGCCCCGUCCCUGGAGGAGCCCUGGAGAUGGGCUCAUCAUUCUGCAGCCACCAGAGUAAAGGGCCCGGGGCAAGAAUCACCGGUGAGGCUGAGUCCCGGGGGACGUGCCACCAGCAGCACUCCUGGGGCCAUCAGAGCGGAGGCUCAGGUGCACACACGCUGAGUGGGAGGCCCGACGAGAGACGAAGGGGGUGCCAGGAGAGUGAGAACCACCCAGGUGCAUUUCGGGGCCCCAGUGGGUAGGAGCAGCUGGAACCACGGGGCUGGUCAUCCAUCCAGGGAGCGGGCUCCGGAGCCCUGGAGGCUGGAGUCGUGGGGCGUGUCGGCAGGGGGUGGGCGGGCAGCGAGGCCAGGCGAAGAGCCAGCCAUUGAGCGGGUGAGCCCAGAUGGACGCCUCCAUCCAAGCCGAGAGGCAGGGCUGGAGGCAGGGUCUCGGCUGAGGUGUGACCGGGAAGCAGGGUGUAGACACAAUAGACGAAGGGUCAAACCUCCUGCGAGGCUCUCCAAACCUGCACCUGACUGCGCACGGCCGCACUGCCCGUAGUUGCCAAAGAGCGGAAUUUACCCAAAGGCUCAUCAAUGGAUGGUGGAUAACGUGGUAUAUCCGUAAAAUGGAAAACUCUUCAGUAAUUAAAGGGGAUGGAGUAUUGACACAACCCACAACCCAGGCGAACCUUGACACAGAGGACUGAAAGGUGCACGCAAAACGUCCGGGAAAGGCCCACCCACAGGUCCGUGUCCACCUGGACUUUCAGGGAGCUGAGCGAAGGCACGUGGGCACGACAGGGUUGUCUGGGGAUGAUGAAUAUAUUCUAAAAUUGACUGUGUUCAUGGCUGAACAACUUUGAAAAUCUACCCAAACCACUGAGUUGUACCCUUUAAAUGGGUGAAUAGAGGGUAUGGAGCUAGUAUAGGGUAUGGAGCUAGCCUUCCCCAAACCCGGAGUGUGCGUGUGCGUGUGCGUGUGCGUGUACACCUUGCAAUGAGAAGGAAGUGUAAUCUAGAAGGGAGAGAAGGAAGCAGAACCCGAUGGGAUCUUCCCAGCACAGACACUGCCCCCUCCCCACGUCCUCCGCCUGCCUCUCAUCUGGAAAACCUUUAGCCAAAGAAUAAAUUAAUCAGAGAAAUGAGAAAACGCAGAAGCAAAGAAAAGCCAUCAAACAGGACAAAAUAAUCCAAGUUACGUCAUUAAACAAAGCCAAGGACCUUUAGUUCCUCCUCGAGGGCGACUGACAAUAACCUGAUCCAUAUCCUUUGGGCUGUUUGCAAGAUCCUGCAACCCCCACCAGGGGACAGAAAUUACCCACAUGAUGACCAGACUGUAGCCAUGACAUAGGCCGCUCCAUCCUGCACAAUUCCCAGCACCGACCCCGGAACUGGAGAGUCGCGGUACUUAAAACAAGACGACACGGAUCGGACCACCACACGACCCAUUUCAACAUGAUUAUCAAGAAGCUGGCUGUUCUGCACUUGAACCCCCACUCCUGCCGGUGCACCCCUGAAACGCUCCUCAUUUAAAAGCUCUUGCUCUUGAUCGACAAGGGGAAAUGGGUUCUUUGGGACUGAGUCCGCCUUCUCCCCAGGACUGCCUCAAUAAAGCUGCUCUUCCUUUUACCCAACACUUGUCUCCCCGUGUUGGAUGCGGUGGAGCCCGAGUUUGGUAACAGAAGGAAUCGGGACAGUAGUUUAAGGCAGUGCUUCUCUAACGUUACGGGGCACCAGGAGCACCUGGAGAGUUUGUUAGACCAGGUCAGGCCCCAGCACAAGAGAGUCUAUUUCAGUUGGUGCAGGUAGGGCCGGAGAAUCUGCAUUCCUAACCUACCCCCAGAUGGUGCUGAAGAGGCUGAUGAGGGAGCACCACUCUGGGGACCAGUAAAACCACUGGAAGUGACGCUAUUGGUUCGUGUUGUUGUUUUUAGGUUGAGAUAUAAUUCACGUACCGCAGAAUCCAGCCUGUCAAAGGGCAGCGUUCAGCGGUUGUAGGGCAUUCGUGAUGUUGUGCCACCGUCACCACCACCUCCAGAACAUUUUCAACACUCCCAAAAGUGACGCUGUACCCAUCAUCAGUCACUCCCCACCCUCCCCUGACAACUCCAGCCUCCAGCAAACACCAAACCACUCCUUCUCCAUAGAUCAGCCCUUUCAAGACACUGCAUUUAUGAGGAGAAUCACACAAACCAUGGUUUCUGCGUUGGGCUCCUUUCACUGGGCAUGACGUUUUCAAAGUUCGGCUGGGCUGGAGCCUGAGCCUGUGCUUCUCUUUUUCAUGGCUGCGUGCUACUCCGUUGUGUGAAAGGACCACAGUUUGUCUAUCCACUCAUCAGGUGAUGAACAACUGGACUGGUGGAGUUCCCACCGAUUGACAUUGUGCUGCUGUAAACACCGCGUUCAGGCUUCUGAGCGGACAAGGCUGCCAUUCUCUUGGGUACAUACCUUGGCGUGGAGAUGCUGGGUCAUACGGCCCUAACUCUGCAUUUCACUUUCUGAUGAACCGCCAAAUUGUUCCACAGCGACCCCGCCUGUCACACCCCAGCAGCUUCUCCACAACCUGACACUGGUUAUUGUCCUGAUUACAGCCAUCCUAGCAGGGUGAGGUAUUAGCGCACCGUGGUUUUGCCGUACAGUUCCCCCGUGAUGAUCUGGAGCACUUUCUCGUGUGCUUAUCGGCCAUCCGUGUACCUCCUCUAGAAAAAAGUCUACUCAAAAUCUCUGUCCAAUUUUUAAUUGGGCUAUGUCUUUUUUAUUGUUGAAUUUU